Molecule: ribosomal RNA, 449 nt
Filed under: uncultured bacterium
Lineage: Bacteria
Description: partial 16S ribosomal RNA
Rfam family: Bacterial small subunit ribosomal RNA
Source: RNAcentral
GUAGGGAGUUUUCGGCAAUGGGGGAAACCCUGACCGAGCAACGCCGCGUGAGUGAUGAAGGUCUUCGGAUUGUAAAGCUCUGUUACAGGGGACGAAUGGUCAGCCUAGGAAAUGAGGUUGGCUCGACGGUACCCUGCCAGAAAGUGACGGCUAACUACGUGCCAGCAGCCGCGGUAAUACGUAGGUCACGAGCGUUAUCCGGAAUUAUUGGGCGUAAAGAGUGAGCAGGCGGUGAAGUAAGUCUGGAGUGAAAGCGUGGGGCUUAACCCCAUACAGCUUUGUAAACUACUUCGCUAGAGUACGUCAGAGGUUAACAGAACUCCGUGUGUAGCGGUGAAAUGCGUAGAUAUACGGAAGAAUACCAGUGGCAAAGGCGGUUAACCAGGACGAUACUGACGCUCAGUCACGAAAGCGUGGGGAGCAAAUAGGAUUAGAAACCCUGGUAGUCC